Long non-coding RNA from Ziziphus jujuba (common jujube), 2079 nucleotides. RefSeq lists it as uncharacterized. The transcript is spliced from 2 exons. The record is from RefSeq and is a predicted model, not a curated record. NCBI's taxonomy places the organism in Eukaryota, Viridiplantae, Streptophyta, Magnoliopsida, Rosales, Rhamnaceae.
UCCUCCAAUAUUCAAGGUCAACCCAUGGGGUCCACUUCUCAUGCACUCUUACAAGAUUGUGCUACUCCUGAUGGUGACUUCUCUAUAAAGUUGUUUGGCCCAUUUAAAAAAUUCCUUGUUCACAUGACGCUUCCUAUGUAAAAGUGCUAGUUCUCUUGAGCCCAUUUCAUGUUCACGUGACCAUCUCUUCCCUAUAGAUAAUUAUUCCAAUGAAAAGGCUUCCUCUGCUCGUGACUCAUCUACCAAAAACACUGGUUGCUUCCUUGAAACACCUGCCCAUGUGUCACCUCGUUCUGCCUCAUCUUCACACCCAUCUCCUGUCAUUUCUCAACCCACCCGAUAGCACCCCAUGCGUACCAGAUCAUUGAAUAUAAUUUUUGAACCAAAAAAAUCUCAUGAUUUUUUCCUUGCAACUCACAGUUCCAAUAGUUUUGUUUUAGAACCGAGGACGCCUACUCAAGCUCUUCAAUCCCUUGAAUGGCGCACUGCCAUGUCUCCAAAACAUGAAGCUCUCUUACGUAAUAACACUUAGGACCUUGUUCCAUCCUCUGAUGCAAAAAAUGUUGUUGGUUGUAAAUGGGUUUUCCGUAUCAAACGAAACCCAAAUGGUUUUCUAAAUAAAUAUAAAGCUCGUCUUGUGGCAAAAGGCUUCCAUCAGCAUCCUGGUGUUGACUUCUCUGAUACCUUCAUCCCAGUAAUCAAGCCAGGAACGGUUAGACUUGUUCUUAGUGUUGCCUUAUCCCAAGAUUGGCCUCUUAAGCAACUGGACAUCAAUAACGCAUUCCUCAAUGGUACUCUACAUGAAGAAGUCUAUAUGUCUCAGCCUCCUGGGUUUAUUGAUCAAAACAAACCAUCUAAUGUGUGUAGGCUCAAGAAGGCCAUAUACAGUUUGAAACAAGCUCCACGAGCCUGAUGAUAUUAUUCUUACAGGCAACAAUUCCUCACUUCUGUAAUGAUUUGUUCAUUCUCUCUCUCAAAGGUUUUCUUUAAAGGACUUGGGUGAUUUAAAUUAUUUUCUGGGUGUUAAGGUUCUGCCUAGCAAACAUGGUCUCUUUCUUAGCUAGCAAAAAUAUAUUCUUGAUUCUUUGGAAAAAAGCAACAUGACUGAUGCAAAACCUAUGGCAUCUCCAAUGUCUGCAACUCAAUCUUUCACUCUAUCUGACGGGUCCCAACCUACAAAUGCAACACAGUAUCGCCAAGUGGUCGGAAGUCUUCAAUAUCUUUCAUCCACUCGACCAGAUAUAAGUUUUGCAGUAAACAAGCUUUCUCAGUUUAUGCAUUGCCCCACUACGACUCAUUGGACUUUUGUCAAGCGAGUACUUCGCUAUUUAAAAGGAACAAGCUCAUAUGGUUUAUUCUUACAUCGCAACAAUCCUCCGUCUCUUCAUGCUAAUUCUGAUGCUGACUGGGCUGGCAAUCGCGAUGACCGAACAUCCACCACCGGUUACCUUGUGUUUCUAGGUGGCAAUCCUAUAUCUUGGUCUCCCAAAAAACAAAGAUCUAUCUCACACUCAUCAAUUGAAGUAGAAUAUAGAGCUGUAGCCAACACAACAUCGAAAUUAUAGUGGCUACUCUCUCUUUUGAAAGAACUUCAAAUCCAUUCUUCCACUUCUCCUACCAUCUAUUGUAAUAAUGUCAGUACAACAUAUUUGUGUGCUAAUCCAAAUUUUCAUUAAAAAAUGAAGCACGUUGGAAUCGACUUUCAUUUUGUCCGAGAACGAGUAGCUGCUGGUUCACUACGAGUAUCUCAUAUAAGUAGCAACGAUCAGCUUGCUGAUGGUCUUACAAAACCUCUACCUCGCCAAAGACUCAAGUUUCUACUGUCCAAACUUGGUGUUCUUCCUUGCCCACCAAGUUUGAGGGGGCAUAUCAGUGAUCCUUCUGCAACUACUAUAACUAACUAACUAUUUCUUGUAUUCAAAGUAUCUGUCUUAUUUAUCUUUAUCACAUAGUUUUCGGGAUUUACUUGUAUUCAAAAUUAUUUUAUAUUGAUCUGUCAGUUGUACUCUUCAUCUGCAUUUGUAUAUUUCAAACCCACUGACGUUAAUGAAUAAAAGAAUGCUAUUUUCAUUCUCAGAA